AGAUUGAAUUCAUAAUUCUGAGAUGAAAUUAUCUAAAUCUCAGAAUUCUGACUUUAUUCUCA
RNAcentral lists this microRNA precursor (62 nucleotides) under Gadus morhua (Atlantic cod). RNAcentral describes it as "Gmo-Novel-9_pre stem-loop". The record is from RNAcentral. Lineage: Eukaryota; Metazoa; Chordata; Actinopteri; Gadiformes; Gadidae.